Alosa sapidissima (American shad) is the source of this 664-nucleotide long non-coding RNA. RefSeq lists it as uncharacterized. NCBI's taxonomy places the organism in Eukaryota, Metazoa, Chordata, Actinopteri, Clupeiformes, Clupeidae. The transcript is spliced from 2 exons. The record is from RefSeq and is a predicted model, not a curated record.
CACACACACACAUAUAUAUAGACAUGCACACACACACACACAUACACACACCACCACACACACACACACACCACACUACACCACACCACACCACACACACGCACACACCGCACUGCAGGUUCCUUGGACUCUAUACUCAUAUGUAUGUGUGCGAGCCUGGCUACCUGGUUCAGAUGUGCUGCUGAUUCACUACAUAUUGUUUUCACACACACACACACACCACACACACACCGUACUGCAGGUUCCUUGGACUCUAUACUCAUCUGGGUCAGCCUGGCUACCUGGUUCAGAUGUGCUGCUGAUCCACUACAUAUUGUUUAUAAAGUUUGUCUGUCUGGUGUAAAGUGUGUCUAUCUCACAGAGACACUACUAGCAUGUAGCCAGAUAUAUGAUUCCAUCAUGGCUGAUUUAUGAUUCCAUCAUGGCUGAUUUAUGAUUACAUCAUGGCUGAUUGUUUUUUUCUGGUCAUGAUUAUUAUAAUUCUGUGUGAUUGAUCCCUGUGUGAGUGAUCUCUGUGUGAUGUGAGUAAUCUCUGUGUGAUUGAUCUCUGUCGAAAGCAAAGCAUUUUCUGUUUAUCAUUAACUCUUGCACUUAUUGAGCAGAUUGGAAUAACAUGUAUGUUAUAUGUCUAAAUAAAUCCCUAAUCACUGGGAAAACAAAUGAU